CGGGGUGCAGCAGGCGCGAAAACUUUACAAUGCGGGCAACCGUGAUAAGGGAACCUCGAGUGCCUGUAAAUGCAGGCUGUUCAGGUGCCUAAAACACACCUGAAGAAAGGGCCGGGCAAGACCGGUGCCAGCCGCCGCGGUAAUACCGGCGGCUCGAGUGGUGGCCGCUUUUAUUGGGCUUAAAGCGUUCGUAGCUGGGUUGUUAAGUCUCUUGGGAAAUCUGGCGGCUUAACCGUCAGGCGUCUAAGGGAUACUGGCAAUCUUGGAACCGGGAGAGGUGAGGGGUACUUCGGGGGUAGGAGUGAAAUCCUGUAAUCCUCGAGGGACCACCUGUGGCGAAGGCGCCUCACCAGAACAGCUUCGACAGUGAGGGACGAAAGCUGGGGGAGCAAACCGGAUUAGAUACCCGGGUAGUCCCAGCCGUAAACUAUGCGCAUUAGGUGUAUCGGUGACCACGAGUUACCGAGGUGCCGAAGGGAAACCGUGAAACGUGCCGCCUGGGAAGUACGGUCGCAAGGCUGAAACUUAAAGGAAUUGGCGGGGGAGCACCACAACAGGUGGAGCCUGCGGUUUAAUUGGACUCAACGCCGGGAAGCUCACCGGAUAAGACAGCAGAAUGAUUGCCGGGCUGAAGACUCUGCAUGACUAGCUGAGAGGAGGUGCAUGGCCGUCGUCAGUUCGUACUGUGAAGCAUCCUGUUAAGUCAGGCAACGAGCAAGACCCACGCCAACAGUUGCCAGCAUGGUCUCCGGACUGAUGGGGGACACUGUUGGGACCGCCUCUGCUAAAGAGGAGGAAGGA
RNAcentral lists this ribosomal RNA (801 nucleotides) under unidentified euryarchaeote. RNAcentral describes it as "bacterial SSU rRNA". It matches the Rfam family "Archaeal small subunit ribosomal RNA", at positions 326 to 1130 of the family's 1478-position model. The record is from RNAcentral. Lineage: Archaea; Methanobacteriati; Methanobacteriota.